Trichomycterus rosablanca is the source of this 1209-nucleotide long non-coding RNA. RefSeq lists it as uncharacterized. The record is from RefSeq and is a predicted model, not a curated record. The transcript has 2 exons. Lineage: Eukaryota; Metazoa; Chordata; Actinopteri; Siluriformes; Trichomycteridae.
GGAGGAGCCUACACACAUACAGCGGAGCUCCAGAGGAGUUUCUCAGGAGGUGAAUCUCCUCAUAUUCCUUCACCUGAUGGUGUACCUGAUACUACAGUGACAACAAGGAAAGUAGUUCGGAGGCCAUGGACAACAAAGGAGGUCCUUGCUGUAAUGAGGCAUUUCAAAUAUCGGUCGUUUUCAAACCACAAAGGGUCGUUUGGCUUCAAAAUUGGAGUGCGAGAAAUGCAAGAAAGCAGAAUUUCCCAUUUUAGAAGGGCAAAUUUUUUUGUUUAAAAAGUGUCUUAGAUACUGUUUUUAAGAUAGUUGUUGCUGUUGAAAACUACUUCCAAUAGUCUCCUCACAAAAAUCCCUUUUGAUGGUUUUGAGUUCCAUAUCAAAGGGUGUGAAUACUUAUGUACCUAUUAUGUUUAAAUGUUUACAUUUUUAAAAGAUUUACAAAAAUGUCUGAAAACAUGUUUUCUCUUUGUCAUUAUGGGUUAUUUCGUGUAGAUUUUUUAAAAAGAAAACUAAACUCAAAUCGGAUUUCGAAUAUGUCUGUAACGUAACAAAAUGUGGGAAAAGUGAAGGGGUGUGAAUACUUUCUGAUGGCACUGUAUAUUUAUAUAUUGAUGACAGAUUGGCAAAAACAAAGCUGUCUUUAAAAUAUUGGUUACAUUAGAUUGAAAAGACAGGCAGAUUAUGUGUCCUUUUAUGCCUUUGUUUGUCCUCUUAAGACAGUAUCUGCUCAUGUUUGUGUUUGUGUAUGUGGUGUGUGCUGAUAAACCAUGCGUGUCCUUUUAAACACUCUUCAGGUCAUGUCUCUCUAAGGCUGUAAAAUGUCAGGUAUAUGAUAUUUCCAUGAUUUUAAAAUAAAAAGGUGAUUCUAAUUUGGAUGUAUCUUUAGCAGGUUUAAAUACAUUUUUGGGAGUUACUUGCACAUUGAUAGCAUAUGUGGAAAGUGGUGUCCCCAUAAAGUAGGUACUGAGUCAGGUGUCCUCAUAUACCAUAAUUACCAGUAUGUGUGCGCGCGCGCGUGUGUGCGUGUGUGCGUGUGUUUGCCCUGUGAUGGACUGUCCGAAUGAAUCAUACCCACCGCGACCCUGAAGAGGAUGAAGCGGCUCUAAAACAGACAAUAAAUGAAUGAAUGUUAGAGCAGCUUAAUAAGCCAUUAUAUCUCUGAAUAAGUAUUAUGCACUAAUAAACGUAAUACACUAAUUAGAAUUAAAA